CAUAGCUGGGACUACAGGUGCCCGCCACCUCGCCCGGCUAAUUUUUUGUAUUUUUAGUAGAGACGGGGUUUCACCGUGUUAGCCAGGAUGGUCUCAGUCUCCGGACCUCGUGAUCUGCCCGCCUCGGCCUCCCAAAGUGCUGGGAUUACAGGCGUGAGCCACCGUGCCCGGCCUUUCUUUCCUUCUUUCAUUAUUUUGAAUGGAGUUCUUGCUGCUUGCUCUUAAUCUUGGGACUUCCAGUUUUCCCUGCUGGAUUGGGAGUCUCGCUGGAGCUCCUGGCCUCAAGCAAUCCACCUGCCCUGACCUCCCAAAGUGCUGGGAUUACAGCUAUGAGCCACUGCACCCAGCCAGGAGAAUAAAAAUCUAUAGUAGGUGGGAGCUUUCAUUGUCCCUGAUCUGGAAAAACUCAGUGAGCUGCCAAGUAACAAAAAAAUCCUCCUAUAAUUGGGAGGAUUAAUUAUUUCUGGUACUGAGAUAUACAUUGGAUGUGGUAUAUAUCUUCAUUUUUUACUUUCCUAUGAAUAUUUUGUGAAUCUCCUGUAUCUAAUAGUUUAAACAUAUUUUGAGUGCAUU
This 573-nucleotide long non-coding RNA is filed under the name Homo sapiens (human). Its description in RNAcentral is "HSALNT0030349". Lineage: Eukaryota; Metazoa; Chordata; Mammalia; Primates; Hominidae. The record is from RNAcentral.